UAGGGAAUCUUCGGCAAUGGGGGGAACCCUAACCGAGCAACGCCGCGUGAGUGAAGAAGGUUUUCGGAUCGUAAAGCUCUGUUGUUAAGGAAGAACGAGUGUGAGAAUGGAAAGUUCAUGCUGUGACGGUACUUAACCAGAAAGGGACGGCUAACUACGUGCCAGCAGCCGCGGUAAUACGUAGGUCCCGAGCGUUGUCCGGAUUUAUUGGGCGUAAAGCGAGCGCAGGCGGUUAGAAAAGUCUGAAGUGAAAGGCAGUGGCUCAACCAUUGUAGGCUUUGGAAACUGUUUAACUUGAGUGCAGAAGGGGAGAGUGGAAUUCCAUGUGUAGCGGUGAAAUGCGUAGAUAUAUGGAGGAACACCGGUGGCGAAAGCGGCUCUCUGGUCUGUAACUGACGCUGAGGCUCGAAAGCGUGGGGAGCGAACAGG
This 429-nucleotide ribosomal RNA is filed under the name Bacteroidota bacterium. RNAcentral's name for it is "Bacteroidetes bacterium partial 16S ribosomal RNA". It matches the Rfam family "Bacterial small subunit ribosomal RNA", at positions 355 to 776 of the family's 1533-position model. The record is from RNAcentral. Lineage: Bacteria; Pseudomonadati; Bacteroidota.